RNAcentral lists this long non-coding RNA (1230 nucleotides) under Canis lupus familiaris (dog). RNAcentral describes it as "lncRNA (ENSCAFG00040018752.1)". Lineage: Eukaryota; Metazoa; Chordata; Mammalia; Carnivora; Canidae. The record is from RNAcentral.
AUGCUGGGGGAUGGAUUUCCUCAAAGAAUCACCUGUACGGAGAGUGAACGAGCUGCCCCAGGGUGCCAGCAGACCUGGGACCACCGGCAACGCCUAAAGCACACGCGGGGACCCCGGGGACUGCGACACAAUCCGAGGAGCAGCACCCAGAGGGGGCCAGGCGUGGGCGACGGGAGACACCCGCAAGGAGGGUGGGCGGCGGCUCCGCUGGAAGCUCCCCCUCGGCCCCCCCCCCCGCCGCGCCCGGAUCCAGAUCCGAGUGUAGAUGCCCGCACCCCCCGACGGCGCGGCCCACUCCGACCCGCAGGUCAUCUCGGGCUUCCCAAGCCUGCGCGUCUGAGCUCGGGCCCGGUUCCCCACUCAAUCGCUGAAGCUCGGUUUUCUAACCCAUCAACGGGCGGGAAGCCCAGUACCAAGCCGGCGGGUCGGAGUGGGGCCACCUGGUGUUGUUUUCCCAGUGCGGACCACUCGGGCAGGCCAACACCAAGCUCGGAGCCACGUCCCAGCAUCCUCACGGGGCUGCAUCCGCGGCGGGGCGGCCGGCGCUCGGGCUCUGGGCAGGCUCCGGUUAGGUCCGAGGGCCUCGCGGCUCGGGGGCGGAGGCCCGGCAGCGCCAAGCGGUCCCCUGGCCAGCGCCGAGGCCCCGGAGGACGUCUCGCGGGGACCUCGCUUCGACCCCGGCUCUGCCUUCCCCUUCGCGCGCCGGGGCCCGACGCCGCAGCCGCCGCACAACGCGGCCACCCGCGCGGCCCCUUCCCGCGUUCUUCCCAGCGCCUACUGAGGCUGCGCAGGCGUGAGGGCGGGAGAGCCAGGGCCCGCCGCGCGCGCGCCCUCUGCUGGCGCCUAACGAUCCCCCCGGCCCCGUACGCACGUCCCAAGCCCCGCCCCCGAGCUGCGGGCGCGCGGAGCCGUUGGCGACGUGCCCCGCCCUCCCCUCCCGCCGGGGGGCGGGGCCGCCCCGGAGCCGGGAGAGGUGGGGGGGGGGGGAGAGGGAAAGAAGGCGGGGACCCGGGAGGCCCCGCCCCCCGCCGGGCUGCAUUUGAAGCCCCCGACUCUUCAGGGCUGGCCAAUUGGAGCCCGCCCUGUCCCGAGCGCCGACCAAUGAGCGGCGCGCUCGGGCCGCUUCCGGCACCGCGCCUCGCUCGCCCCUUCCCCAGCUCUCCCCGCGACGGGCGGGGCGCGGGAGCGGGCGGCGGCCGCGGUGACGCGCGGCGGGCUGGGAGCCAAUAG